RNAcentral lists this ribosomal RNA (333 nucleotides) under uncultured fungus. Its description in RNAcentral is "partial small subunit ribosomal RNA". It matches the Rfam family "Eukaryotic small subunit ribosomal RNA", at positions 30 to 371 of the family's 1831-position model. The record is from RNAcentral. Lineage: Eukaryota; Fungi.
GCUUGUCUCAAAGAUUAAGCCAUGCAUGUCUAAGUAUAAACAAAUCUAUACUGUGAAACUGCGAAUGGCUCAUUAUAUCAGUUAUAGUUUAUUUGAUGGUUCUUGCUACUUGGAUAACCGUAGUAAUUCUAGAGCUAAUACAUGCAUCAAACCCCGACUUCUGGAAGGGGUGUAUUUAUUAGAUGGAAACCAAUGCGGGGCAACCCGGAUUAUGGUGAUUCAUAAUAACUUUCAGAUCGAUCGCAAGAUCGAUGCAUCAUUCAAGUUUCUGCCCUAUCAGCUUUGGAUGGUAGGGUAUUGGCCUACCAUGGCUUUAACGGGUAACGGAGAAUU